UACGGAGGGAGCUAGCGUUGUUCGGAAUUACUGGGCGUAAAGCGCACGUAGGCGGCGAUUCAAGUCAGAGGUGAAAGCCCGGGGCUCAACCCCGGAACUGCCUUUGAAACUAGAUUGCUAGAAUCUUGGAGAGGCGAGUGGAAUUCCGAGUGUAGAGGUGAAAUUCGUAGAUAUUCGGAAGAACACCAGUGGCGAAGGCGACUCGCUGGACAAGUAUUGACGCUGAGGUGCGAAAGCGUGGGGAGCAAACAGG
RNAcentral lists this ribosomal RNA (253 nucleotides) under uncultured bacterium. RNAcentral's name for it is "partial 16S ribosomal RNA". It matches the Rfam family "Bacterial small subunit ribosomal RNA", at positions 524 to 776 of the family's 1533-position model. The record is from RNAcentral.